Molecule: non-coding RNA, 333 nt
Organism: Anolis sagrei ordinatus
Lineage: Eukaryota; Metazoa; Chordata; Lepidosauria; Squamata; Anolidae
Source: RefSeq, a predicted model, not a curated record
ACUGCAGUGGUUACAGGAAACCUUCUGAUGGAUCCAAACCCAGAAGAUGCACGUUGGAGUACUUCCCAAUAUGUGGUACCAAUGGCCAAACGUACACCAACAAAUGCCUCUUUUGCAGUGCAGCCAUGACAAGUCAAGGGAAGAUCCAUUUUAAGCAUUAUGGGAGCUGCUGAGAUAUUGCCUUGGGUGAUCUGUGGAAAAACAUACUUCAUUCACCUGUCACCUCUGCCUCACUCUUCUUGCUCCACUCAAAUCCAGUCUAAUCCACUCAAACACUUAUUCUAUUCAGUUGCAUCUCAUCUGCUGGGUUAAAAUAAAAAUUCAUCACUCUUA